RNAcentral lists this transfer RNA (71 nucleotides) under Columba hodgsonii (speckled wood-pigeon). RNAcentral describes it as "tRNA-Gln". It matches the Rfam family "tRNA". Rfam says of the family: Transfer RNA (tRNA) molecules are approximately 80 nucleotides in length. Their secondary structure includes four short double-helical elements and three loops (D, anti-codon, and T loops). Lineage: Eukaryota; Metazoa; Chordata; Aves; Columbiformes; Columbidae. The record is from RNAcentral.
UAGAAAAUAAUAUAGGGGAAGUAUGAGGAGUUUUGAUCUCUUUCGUGCAGGUUCGAAUCCUGCUUUUCUAA